Long non-coding RNA from Piliocolobus tephrosceles (Ugandan red Colobus), 599 nucleotides. RefSeq lists it as uncharacterized. NCBI's taxonomy places the organism in Eukaryota, Metazoa, Chordata, Mammalia, Primates, Cercopithecidae. The record is from RefSeq and is a predicted model, not a curated record. The transcript is spliced from 3 exons.
CAGAGCUGUAUACAUCCAGGGAGAACGUCAUGUGGAGAUGAAAGCAGAGAUCAGAGUGACGCAUCUCCAAGCCAUGGAAUGCUGAAGAUGGUGAGCAACCCACCAGAAGUCAGGAGAGAGCUGAAGAAAUGGAGGUGCAACGGGCUCGAAGAACCUGGCUUCAUUUAGAGAGUGUGCCCGGGAUGAGACGUGUGGAGAGCCUGGCCUGAGCCAACACUAAGAGACUCCUGGACAGGAGGAAAUGCAUUGAACCUGAAUACCUCUACGGGAGACCUCUCAUCCCUCCUUCCACGCCAUCCCUGCUCUCAGUCUACACCUCCCAUUUUUUGAUCAAGACAGCCUUGAAGUUCUCUGUGUCUGCGGAAGGAAGGAGACGGAGCUUGUUUUUCACUUUUGCUGCCAUUAUUAAUUAUUUUUAGGAAAGCAUUGUGUCUUUUGAGAGAAGAUUGUAAGUACCGGGAGAAUAAAUGGACCUUAGAGUAAGCCGUGUAUGCUCCAGACUUCCCCAGCUUGAUGAACAGCUUCCUGACCAGUGGCUGGCAGUCCCUGGUCUUAUUGGACGGACACUGGCUGGGGGCCAAUGUCUGAGUUGAAUGGUG